GUGCCAGCAGCCGCGGUAAUACGUAGGUGGCAAGCGUUGUCCGGAAUUAUUGGGCGUAAAGGGCGUGUAGGUGGAUUCUUAAGUCGUGUGUCUAAGUGCGGUGCUCAACACCGUAUGGGCGCAGGAAACAGGGAAUCUUGAGUGCAGGAGAGGAAAGUGGAAUUCCCAGUGUAGCGGUGAAAUGCGUAGAUAUUGUGAGGAACACCAGUGGCGAAGGCGACUUUCUGGACUGUGUCUGACACUGAGGCGCGAAAGCCAGGGGAGCGAACGGGAUUAGAUACCCGGUAGUCCCUGGCCGUAAACGAUGGGUACUA
RNAcentral lists this ribosomal RNA (314 nucleotides) under uncultured Sporomusa sp. RNAcentral describes it as "bacterial SSU rRNA". It matches the Rfam family "Bacterial small subunit ribosomal RNA", at positions 505 to 818 of the family's 1533-position model. Lineage: Bacteria; Bacillati; Bacillota; Negativicutes; Selenomonadales; Sporomusaceae. The record is from RNAcentral.